RNAcentral lists this ribosomal RNA (762 nucleotides) under Triticum aestivum (bread wheat). Its description in RNAcentral is "partial small subunit ribosomal RNA". Lineage: Eukaryota; Viridiplantae; Streptophyta; Magnoliopsida; Poales; Poaceae. The record is from RNAcentral.
AUGGAUGAACCCAGCGAGAUGCAACAGAUGAUCGAUGCCAUAAGAAUGACGCUGGAGUUAUUGGGUGAUGGUGAAACGUCGACGAAUAUUUCUGCCUAUGACACGGCAUUGGUCGCCCUUGUCAAGAACCUUGAGGGAGGUGAUGGACCGCAAUUCCCCUCAUGCAUUGACUGGAUUGUUCAAAAUCAACUACCGGAUGGUUCAUGGGGUGACCCCGCUUUCUUUAUGGUCCAAGAUCGGAUGAUUAGCACCCUGGCAUGUGUGGUAGCACUGAAGUCUUGGAAAAUUGACAGCGCCAACUUGUAUGAUAGAGGUGUGUCAUUUAUCCAAGAAAAUAUGAGCAGGUUGGUAGAAGAGGAACAGGAUUGGAUGCCAUCCGGCUUCGAGAUUAACUUCCCAGCACUCCUAGACAGGGCCAAGGACCUAAAUUUGGACAUCCCUUAUAAUCACCCUGUUUUGGAAGAGAUAUAUGCCAAGAGAAAUCUAAAGCUCUCGAAGAUCCCUCUGGAACUACUACACGCCACACCAACUACCCUACUUUUCAGCUUGGAGGGAAUGACAGACUUGCAGUUGGACUGGGAAAAGCUACUCAAGUUGCAGUGCCCGGACGGCUCCUUCCACUCCUCGCCUGCUGCCACAGCUGCUGCCCUCAGUCACACUGGUGACAAGGAAUGCCUUGCAUUUCUGAGAAGUUCGACGGGGGAGUGCCAUGUACCCAUGCGAUGGAUAUUUUUGAGCAGUUAUGGGUGGUCGAUCGGCUGA